This 253-nucleotide ribosomal RNA is filed under the name uncultured bacterium. RNAcentral's name for it is "partial 16S ribosomal RNA". It matches the Rfam family "Bacterial small subunit ribosomal RNA", at positions 524 to 776 of the family's 1533-position model. The record is from RNAcentral.
UACGUAGGGUGCAAGCGUUAUCCGGAAUUAUUGGGCGUAAAGAGCUCGUAGGCGGUUUGUCGCGUCUGCUGUGAAAACCCGAGGCUCAACCUCGGGCCUGCAGUGGGUACGGGCAAGCUAGAAUUCGGUAGGGGAGACUGGAAUUCCUGGUGUAGCGAUGAAAUGCGCAGAUAUCAGGAGGAACACCGGUGGCGAAGGCGGGUCUCUGGGCCGAAAUUGACGCUGAGGAGCGAAAGCGUGGGGAGCAAACAGG